GGAGAGGUGUCUGAGUGGUUGAAAGAGCACGCUUGGAAGGCGUGUAGCGACUUCACGGUUGCUCGAGAGUUCGAAUCUCUCCCUCUCCG
This 89-nucleotide transfer RNA is filed under the name Omnitrophica WOR_2 bacterium RIFCSPHIGHO2_02_FULL_52_10. RNAcentral's name for it is "tRNA-Ser". It matches the Rfam family "tRNA". Rfam says of the family: Transfer RNA (tRNA) molecules are approximately 80 nucleotides in length. Lineage: Bacteria; Pseudomonadati; Candidatus Omnitrophota. The record is from RNAcentral.